UGAGCCGGCCAGGCGGCCGCGUCCGCCGGCAUCGCUCGCGAGGCCGACGGCCGAGGAACGUCCGGGCUCCACAGGGCAGGGUGGUGGGUAACGCCCACCCGGGGUGACCCGCGGGACAGUGCCACAGAGAACAGACCGCCGCCGACGCUCUCGGGCGCCGGCGGUAAGGGUGAAACGGUGGGGUAAGAGCCCACCAGCGUGCCGGGCGACCGGCGCGGCUAGGUAAACCCCACCCGGAGCAAGGCCAGACAGGGAGCGAGCUGCCCGCUCGAUGCUCCCGGGUAGGCCGCUGGAGGCGCACGGCAACGUGCGUCGUAGAUGGAUGGUCGCCACCGCGGCGCCGGCGACGGCGCCGCGGGACAGAACCCGGCGUACCGGCCGGCUCAUCCC
Molecule: non-coding RNA, 390 nt
Organism: Micrococcales bacterium 73-15
Lineage: Bacteria; Bacillati; Actinomycetota; Actinomycetes; Micrococcales
Source: Rfam